Long non-coding RNA from Daktulosphaira vitifoliae (grape phylloxera), 3013 nucleotides. RefSeq lists it as uncharacterized. The record is from RefSeq and is a predicted model, not a curated record. Lineage: Eukaryota; Metazoa; Arthropoda; Insecta; Hemiptera; Phylloxeridae. The transcript has 3 exons.
UUUUCUUAUAAUAUUAAGUCAUUAUAGUACUAGUAUUAUUAAUAGUUAUACGUUCAAAAAAAUAUACUUCAAUUCCCAAAAUUUAAGUUAAAUAAUAUAUUAAAUUUAUAUGCAUAACCAGAAGUCUAGACAAUUGUGUCUUAUUUGUUUUAUUCAGAAUGGUUUUUUAAAUAUCUGGCAAGUACAAAUAACUUACCGACAAUUAAUUCAAACCGUAAUGAUAUCACUGUUAUAGUUUUCUAUUAAUAUAUAUGUUGUAAUUAUAUUUUUUAAACCCGUUAGUUUUAUUUUGGAAAUUACUCAGUAGUAAAAAAAUUCAUGCUUAAAAAAAUGAAAAGUUCACAGCCAGUUUAAGUUUGAGUUGUUUACGUUGAUUUAUCAUUCUGUAGCUGGCAUUUAUGAGCUUCCAUUGUUAUACGAAUGGUUACAGAAAUAAUUAUUCACACUUUCAAACCUAUCAAUCAAUCUAUCCAUUCAGUGUAAUGGUAUUCUUGCUGGCUUUAUACAGUUUUCGGUACUUAAAUAAUUAAAUAAAUAAUAUCACAGUAUCUCUUGAGUAUUCGACAUCUUAUUGAAACAGACAACUCGAUGAAAAUCGUUUAUCAUUGUUGUGUAAUCAUUAUAUACCGAGUAAGUACAUCAUCAUGCAUUACAAAUUUUAAUUUAUAUCUUCGUGAUUAUUAUUAAUUUUUGUUAUGUUUAUUUGAUCGUUUUAUUAACUGAAAAGUUUUACAAUGGAAAUAGUUUUUAAAUAUUUUUGGCAACCCACCUCCACUAACGCUUUUUUGCUCGUGUAAUUUAUAAACGACAAGAAAUGUUGAAGAAUUUUAUGACUGCGAUGGCAAGCUUUUUAGACAACACACAGAGAGUAAAGAAAUGGCGGGGGAGUAUUCGCGGCAAUGAAAAGAAAACUUUUGGACUACCGCCAAGUUUUUUCUUUCUGAAAUUCGGUCAAUUAUCAACGACAUCAGAAUCGACUGCUUAUAUCGCUUGUGUUCUUGUUAUUUUGUUGUAACUUGUACCACAUAGUAAAUCAACAUAAAUGAAUUAGGAGUUCAUAAUUGAAACGUAAAUUUGAUACAGUUUUAAUAGUCAAGACAUAUGUUUUUUAGACAUGUUCUUCUGGAGAUCAGAUAUUUUGAGUAUAUAAGAUAAAUGAAUUUUUAAACAUUUAAUAUAAAUUUAAAUUAUGAUAUUUGUCUAUUUUAUGGUCGUACUUUACAAUUGAAUAUAUUUGAGUGGUCUUUUAUUAUUAAAUCGAAAAAUAUAUUAAAUUGAUAAUGUGUACUUAUAUCACAAAAAUAGAAAAAAAUAAUUUAUUAAUGUUUAAAAUAUUUAUAUAAUUUGUUCUUAUUUCUAGAUUUCUAGUAUCCCAAAUAUUUAUAAACAUAAAUAUUCCGUUUUUUAAAUGUUAUUACAACGACUAUUUUUAAAUAGUUAAAAAUAUUUAAAUAAUGUAAAAGUUGUGUAGAUAAUAAUGCAAUUACAUGAAUUUGUUUAGUUAAAUUCCAAAUCUUCUAGACAUAAUCGUUGAACAAAAGUUAUAAUAUAUCUAUGAUCUACAGCACGAAAACGCACAAAGGGUACCCUAUUAAAUUAAAGUAUAUAGAUAUAAGAAUAACUUUUUUUUUAAAUUAGUUUGUAUAAUCUUUUUUUAGAAAAUCGUUGAAAACAUUAAUUUAGAGAAUUUAAUUUCCGUUCAAAAAUAAUUGCAAAAAUUUGUCUGAGGGAGAGCCAAAAAAUAUAUUUUUUCAAUAUUUUAUUUCACUAACCGAUUAUUAUUUAGGGUCCUUACUUCAAAUCAAACUCAAAAAAUAAAAUAAGUCUCCUAAAAAAGUAUAAAAUAUUUUCCUCGACAAAGAUAGAAUAGACAAUAUGUAUUUGAAAAUUAUGUAAAAAAUUUGUUCUAUGUUAAUCUUAAAGUUGGGAAAGUUAAAGUAUGAUAAGCGUAAUCCUGUUUAAGGUUGUCCGCUGAAAUUUAGAAAUUAUAGCAUUAACAAAUAUUUAUCAAAUGGCAUAACAUGGAUACACCGUGUUCUAUCCAUUUGCCUGUUAAAAUGUCAUACUUAUGACAUUUUUCAAUAAUGAUACAUCAAUUAUCACAUAACAUGACAUGUUAUCACUAAAGUGUAAAAUUUUGAUACCGUUUGGUACCCGGUCUACCUCUAUUUCACGUUGUUAGAGUCAAAUUUUGAAGAAAUUAUAUGAAAUUACAUUAGAGGAUCAUACAGGUAUCUUAAUGUACGAAAAAAAUGAUUUGUUAAUAGCAGUUAAUGAAUUAAUUUCAAGAAAAAUGAUCAUAAAGCAAGCUUCUAUCAGAUAUCAUAUUUCAAAAAUAAUUUUAAUUUACCAUGCAAAAGGUGAAAGAGAUUUAAAAAUUCAAAAUUUUUGAAGACCAAUUAACUUUUUAUUAUUAGUUGAAAAAGAACAAAUCAGUUAUAUGGAAGUACCUGUAUUAAUCGUUAUUACUUUACAAAAACUUUCAUUAAAUAUGUAACAAACUGUGCAUUACUUAGUUAUGAUGAAACUCAACACAAAUCUAUGAAUAAUCCUAAAUGAAAUUAAGAAUAAUAUUACCAUAUUAAAAUUAUUUCUACAUUUUAGUCACAUUCUCCAACCUCAAGAUUUAUCAAUAUUUCAAUGUGUCAAAGUUUAAUGGGAUGCUAAGUUGUAUAAAAGGAAUAACAUUAGUAAGAAAUUACCCAAAUCAAUAUUUGUAAAAAUAACUGUAAGUGUAUGUUCCUUUAGGUUUUAUUAAAGAAGGUUUUAAAAAAAGGAGGGAUACUCUUUUAGUAAAAACUGUGUAAUUGAAAAUUAUUUGAUUCUAUUAUUUUGAAGCAAUAAAAUGCAAAGUUUGAUCUAUGUAAUUCUAAGACAAAUAUUUCUAAUGAUAAAGUAUUGCUGAAAAAGCUGAGAUAAUAACUGCCAAUGAUUACCUGGAUAAAUUGAUAGAAAAUUAUUAAGGAAACAUGAAACUAAAAAAAAAAACUAAUACCUAAACAGAAAAAAGUAA